RNAcentral lists this long non-coding RNA (242 nucleotides) under Brassica napus (rape). RNAcentral describes it as "long non-coding RNA (BNAP_LNC018054)". The record is from RNAcentral. Lineage: Eukaryota; Viridiplantae; Streptophyta; Magnoliopsida; Brassicales; Brassicaceae.
UGCUUUAUCUCGGGAACAUACGUUGCGACGUUUUCUUGACCGAGCAUGAUUUGUUGCGGAAAGACAUACUUGUAUUCUGCGGAGAUUUAGACGUUAACUUCAUCGUAACCGUUUCGACCCCAACAAUCGCAACACUCUUACGCGGAUUCGAAAUAAGAUCUAAUUUUUCUAAAAAUUCGUUUUGUUAUCUUUUUAUAUUUUCCGCAUUUGUUUGGUUACUUGUCGUUGGCUCUCGCAGAGAA